RNAcentral lists this ribosomal RNA (292 nucleotides) under uncultured bacterium. RNAcentral's name for it is "partial 16S ribosomal RNA". It matches the Rfam family "Bacterial small subunit ribosomal RNA", at positions 505 to 796 of the family's 1533-position model. The record is from RNAcentral.
GUGCCAGCAGCCGCGGUAAUACAGAGGUCCCAAGCGUUGUUCGGAUUUACUGGGCGUAAAGGGAGCGUAGGUGGCAGAUUAAGUCUGACGUGAAAGCUCUGAGCUUAACUCAGAAAUGGCGUUAGAUACUAGUUUGCUUGAGGAUUGGAGGGGAGAUUGGAAUUCUCGGUGUAGCAGUGAAAUGCGUAGAUAUCGAGAGGAACACCAGUGGCGAAGGCGAAUCUCUGGACAAUUCCUGACACUGAUGCUCGAAAGCUAGGGGAGCAAACGGGAUUAGAAACCCUCGUAGUCC